GGAUGUGAGGGCCAUCUGGCUGCGACAUCUUUCACCCCAUUGAUCGCCAGGGUUGAUUCGGUUGAUCUGGCUGGCUAGGCGAGUGUCCCCUUCCUCCCUCACCGCUCCAUGUGCGUCUCUCCCGAAGCUGCAAGCGGUCUGGUCGAAGAGGACAGCCUUCCCCAAAUAGAGAAGGACCAGUCUUCGUGGAGGGUAUACGAGUAGGUGCGCUCCCCUGCCAGAACCUCCAAAAAAGCUCUCAAGGUCCAUUUGAACUAGGAGCUCUGGCUAUCAUCCCCUUUCUACCCUUGCUACUGAUAAAUUAGUUUAGCUCUUCAU
RNAcentral lists this small nuclear RNA (318 nucleotides) under Erinaceus europaeus (western European hedgehog). Its description in RNAcentral is "7SK RNA". It matches the Rfam family "7SK RNA". From Rfam's summary of the family: 7SK was discovered as an abundant small nuclear RNA in the mid-70s but a possible function has only recently been suggested. Two independent studies have found that 7SK RNA binds the CDK9/cyclin T complex (known as elongation factor P-TEFb). P-TEFb activates transcription by phosphorylating the C-terminal domain of RNA polymerase II. The record is from Rfam by way of RNAcentral. Lineage: Eukaryota; Metazoa; Chordata; Mammalia; Eulipotyphla; Erinaceidae.